CGUGUAGGCGGCUUGAUAAGUCCGGUGUGAAAUCUUGGGGCUCAGCCCCAAGCCUGCAUCGGAUACUGUCUCGCUCGAGUUCGGGAGGGGAGAGCGGAAUUCCUAGUGUAGCGGUGAAAUGCGCAGAUAUUAGGAAGAACACCAGUGGCGAAGGCGGCUCUCUGGAACGAUACUGACGCUGAGACGCGAGAGCGUGGGGAGCGAACA
RNAcentral lists this ribosomal RNA (207 nucleotides) under uncultured bacterium. RNAcentral describes it as "partial 16S ribosomal RNA". It matches the Rfam family "Bacterial small subunit ribosomal RNA", at positions 568 to 774 of the family's 1533-position model. The record is from RNAcentral.